Etheostoma spectabile (orangethroat darter) is the source of this 314-nucleotide long non-coding RNA. RefSeq lists it as uncharacterized. NCBI's taxonomy places the organism in Eukaryota, Metazoa, Chordata, Actinopteri, Perciformes, Percidae. The record is from RefSeq and is a predicted model, not a curated record. The transcript is spliced from 5 exons.
AAUUUUGUUCACGUCACUUAAUUACGUCACUUCAUAACGUUCCUACGGCAGCAGCGGAAAACGGCUGCUCUUGUAUGAAGUAAACGCAACAUUUUUCAACUUUCUGCUAAGAUAUAUGUGGCUUUUUUGCAACGAAAAUGCGGGGAUUAUGAAAUCAUGCAAGCCCUGCAUUAUUUUGUAUGGAAAUUGGCAAUUUAUGCGGCAAAAGUGCGGGGUGUUUGAAAAAGAUGCGGUCCCCGCAUGAAUAUGCGGACUUUGGCUGAUUAUGCGAUUACAUAACCACAUUUUGUUGGAGGGACUGACUAGACUAAAAC